GAUGAACGCUGGCGGCGUGCCUAACACAUGCAAGUCGAGCGAACAGACGAGGAGCUUGCUCCUCUGACGUUAGCGGCGGACGGGUGAGUAACACGUGGAUAACCUACCUAUAAGACUGGGAUCACUUCGGGAAACCGGAGCUAAUACCGGAUAAUAUAUUGAACCGCAUGGUUCAAUAGUGAAAGACGGUUUUGCUGUCACUUAUAGAUGGAUCCGCGCCGCAUUAGCUAGUUGGUAGGGUAACGGCUUACCAAGGCAACGAUGCGUAGCCGACCUGAGAGGGGGGUAGGCCACACUGGAACUGAGACACGGUCCAGGCGCCUACGGGAGGCAGCAGUAGGGAAUGUUCCGCAAUGGGCGGAAGCCUGACGGAGCAACGGCGCGUGAGUGAUAAAGGUCUUCGGAUCGGAAAACUCUGUUAUUAGGGAAGAACAGAUGUGUAAGUAACUAUGCGCGUCUUGACGGUACCUAAUCAAAAAGCCACGGCUAACUACGUG
Molecule: ribosomal RNA, 497 nt
Filed under: uncultured bacterium
Lineage: Bacteria
Description: partial 16S ribosomal RNA
Rfam family: Bacterial small subunit ribosomal RNA
Source: RNAcentral